CGGGGACAUUGGGUUCUUUCAGAGUUGGGAGCUUGCGGCGGCAUUCUUAGCAUGCUUGAACCUCCAGACAGUGAGCUGGCUCUGGCAAUGCAUAUAUCAGCUUCAUCAUCUAUGUGGACAUCUCUGGAAAGUAUACUGCCAAGGAAAGACUAGUAGCCCUGUGUGACAGCUUGCUCAACCUUUCUCAGAGCUGUUUUCCUCCAUCUGCUACCCAGGUCUUACCUGUGGCUCCAAGAAGGUUUGAACUUCAAAGUUUCUGUGCAGCACUCAUCUAUACAUCAUGAAAUGCUUGGAAGUCCUCUAUUGUCUUACAAAUUCAUUUUUUCCCAGUUGAA
Molecule: long non-coding RNA, 335 nt
Filed under: Monodelphis domestica (gray short-tailed opossum)
Lineage: Eukaryota; Metazoa; Chordata; Mammalia; Didelphimorphia; Didelphidae
Description: lncRNA (ENSMODG00000033860.2)
Source: RNAcentral